Molecule: ribosomal RNA, 253 nt
Filed under: uncultured bacterium
Lineage: Bacteria
Description: partial 16S ribosomal RNA
Rfam family: Bacterial small subunit ribosomal RNA
Source: RNAcentral
UACGCAGGUGGCAAGCGUUGUCCGGAUUUACUGGGCGUAAAGAGCGCGCAGGCGGUCGGAUUAGUCGCGUGUGAAAGCCCCCGGCUCAACUGGGGAGGGUCACGCGAUACUGUUCGACUCGAAGGCAGGAGAGGGAAGUGGAAUUCCCGGUGUAGUGGUGAAAUGCGCAGAUAUCAGGAGGAACACCAGUGGCGAAAGCGGCUUCCUGGUCCAGCACCGACGUUCAGGCACGAAAGCGUGGGGAGCAAACAGG